This is a non-coding RNA of Camellia sinensis, 1039 nucleotides long. The record is from RefSeq and is a predicted model, not a curated record. NCBI's taxonomy places the organism in Eukaryota, Viridiplantae, Streptophyta, Magnoliopsida, Ericales, Theaceae.
GAAUAGGGUUAUCAGAACCCCACUCACGUUUUAGGCCAAAUUACCUGUACUUGGAAAGCUGGUGUGUGUCUCUUGACUCUCUGCCUCUUUCUUCCCCACGCCUUUGCCCUUCUCCUUCCACGAUCUCUUUCGCAUCGUCAUCACACCGUCGCACGAUCUCUCUCUCUCUCUCUUCUCUUCUGUUGAAGCUCGAACAUGGAGGCUUCUCAAUCUCUGCUUCAACGCAAUCGCAGCGAUCGUCGUCAGCUCCUGAGUUUCAUACUCUCAUCAGGUUUGAUAAAGGAGCUCCGGUCCCCUACUGGUGCCACCUCCUCUGUCUCUGACUCUGAUCUUGAUGCCACCUCCUCUGUCUCUGACUCUGAUCUUGAACUUCUCAGCGCCGAUUACGUCCUCCAAUGCGCACAAUCCGGAUCCGAGUCUUGUCUUUGUUCCCCUUGGAACCUCUAGAACAAAUUCAAGACAAGGCACUCUGAGAAGAAGUGACUCCAUGUGGCACACAAAUUAUUAACCUGCGGUUGCCAAAUUGUUGCUUUGAGAUGUUCUGCCUCUUGUUUACAUAAAAGUGUAGCAACUCAAGGUUUUUGUAUUUUUAGUUGCUGAGUAUGAAACUCCAAAGAACUCCCUGAAUCAGGUCAGCUUUUUAGCAUUCGGUGGCAUGCAUUGUUUCAUCAUGAGUUCAUUUCAAUAUGGCAUUGGAUAUUAUUCUUAACCUCAAGCUUCAUUUCAAAUUUCAUGAGGUUAUUAUGGAGCUGGCCAGUUUUUGUCCGAUGUCCCUUGCUGGAUAGGUGCAGUCGGAUCAUUGUCCAGAUCAUUCUUAGACUCAUUGCAUUGGGAAUUUCUAAUUUGAAUGUGGAUUACUUAAUAAGUACUAUAAUGUUUCUCGAUUCUUGAAAUUUUUUCCCUUUACUCUAUGUUUCAGAUAUUGGCAUACAUCAUGAUAAAUUUAACCUUUUGGCUUAAGAAAUUUUGCUCCUUAGCUUCUACAUAUUUACUGUGAACAUGAUAGUCAAUGUUUAAAAAAUUUGAAUGUCUUUAUUAU